CUAUCCAGAUAUCAGGAAUCAUUGCUAGAUGGUAAUUUUGAUUAGUGCAGAAAAUAGUUUUCUAUGCUAUCAGCUUAGUGUUCCAAUCUAUAGAGUCACGUACAAAAGUCAGAUAAAGUAGGAAAGAAUUGAUCUAAAUCAAUGAGUUCAAUUUAGAAGUAUGUGACUUGAUUGAACAAAUAGAUUAGCUUAAUUAAAAAUUAAGUUAGAGAUUAUAUAGAAUUAAAGAGUUGCCUAUGUCUAGCUAGCAUUGGAUAUGAGGUAUAGAUUUAAUUUUUAAAAUGAUAAUGAUCUGAUCAAUGAUCCAAUAAAUUUAUGAG
This 320-nucleotide long non-coding RNA is filed under the name Elaeis guineensis (African oil palm). RNAcentral describes it as "long non-coding RNA (EGUI_LNC038652)". The record is from RNAcentral. Lineage: Eukaryota; Viridiplantae; Streptophyta; Magnoliopsida; Arecales; Arecaceae.